This 433-nucleotide ribosomal RNA is filed under the name uncultured bacterium. Its description in RNAcentral is "partial 16S ribosomal RNA". It matches the Rfam family "Bacterial small subunit ribosomal RNA", at positions 29 to 507 of the family's 1533-position model. The record is from RNAcentral.
AACGAACGCUGGCGGCAUGCCUAACACAUGCAAGUCGAACGAUACCUUCGGGUCUAGUGGCGCACGGGUGCGUAACGCGUGGGAACCUGCCCUUAGGUUCGGAAUAACUCCCCGAAAGGGGUGCUAAUACCGGAUAAUGUCUUCGGACCAAAGAUUUAUCGCCUUUGGAUGGGCCCGCGUUGGAUUAGCUAGUUGGUAGGGUAAAAGCCUACCAAGGCGACGAUCCAUAGCUGGUCUGAGAGGAUGAUCAGCUACACUGGGACUGAGACACGGCCCAGACUCCUACGGGAAGCAGCAGUGGGGAAUAUUGGACAAUGGGCGAAAGCCUGAUCCAGUAAUGCCGCGUGAGUGAUGAAGGCCUUAGGGUUGUAAAGCUCUUUUACCCGGGAUGAUAAUGACAGUACCGGGAGAAUAAGCGCCGGCUAACUCCGUG